Molecule: long non-coding RNA, 472 nt
Organism: Alexandromys fortis (reed vole)
Lineage: Eukaryota; Metazoa; Chordata; Mammalia; Rodentia; Cricetidae
Exons: 3
Source: RefSeq, a predicted model, not a curated record
CAGUCACGGAGCGGUCGAGACCCGGUUGCACCGGGCUUCCCAAGUCGCAGCCUCUGAGCCGCAGGAGCGCCACGAAGCAGAGACCAUCUAUGCUUGUGCGGUGGCCGGCAAGAACGACAAAAAUUGGCCUAAAGGCGGCUAAACAAAAUGUGCGGGAGCCUUAAAACAAGCCAAUUCCCUCUCGUGAGGAACGAUCGGGGAAAUGGCAUGUACGCAAGUGUGCCGGUGCCUGCAGAAGCCAGAAGACAGCGUCAGAUCCCCUGGAGCUGUUUGCACCUAACAUAGGUGCUGUGAACAGAACUCGGGGUCCUUCGGGAGAGCAGCAAGCAUCCUUAGCCAUCGAGCCCUCUUCCCAGCCCCGUGUUUCUUUCCCACACACCCCUACAGUUCUACAGUUCGAAUCAAAUGAUGACUUGUUUCUGUGAACUGUAAUUGGAUUUCCGUUGUCAUGGGGCUGUUGGGUUGUGUAUUA